Molecule: ribosomal RNA, 232 nt
Filed under: uncultured bacterium
Lineage: Bacteria
Description: partial 16S ribosomal RNA
Rfam family: Bacterial small subunit ribosomal RNA
Source: RNAcentral
CGGACGGGUGAGUAAUGUCUGGGAAACUGCUCGAUGGAGGGGGAUAACUACUGGAAACGGUAGCUAAUACCGCAUAACGUCGCAAGACCAAAGAGGGGGACCUUCGGGCCUCUUGCCAUCGGAUGUGCCCAGAUGGGAUUAGCUAGUAGGUGGGGUAACGGCUCACCUAGGCGACGAUCCCUAGCUGGUCUGAGAGGAUGACCAGCCACACUGGAACUGAGACACGGUCCAG